UAACCUGCUAAAUAGCCAGGCUAGCUUUGGCUGGUCGCCGGCUUCUUAGAGGGACUAUCGGCUCAAGCCGAUGGAAGUUUGAGGCAAUAACAGGUCUGUGAUGCCCUAAGAUGUUCUGGGCCGCACGCGCGCUACACUGACAGAGCCAACGAGUUCUCACCUUGGCCGAAGGGUCUGGGUAAUCUUGUUAAACUCUGUCGUGCUGGGGAUAGAGCAUUGCAAUUAUUGCUCUUCAACGAGGAAUUCCUAGUAAGCGCAAGUCAUCAGCUUGCGCUGAUUACGUCCCUGCCCUUUGUACACACCGCCCGUCGCU
This 313-nucleotide ribosomal RNA is filed under the name uncultured fungus. RNAcentral describes it as "SSU rRNA". It matches the Rfam family "Eukaryotic small subunit ribosomal RNA", at positions 1344 to 1680 of the family's 1831-position model. Lineage: Eukaryota; Fungi. The record is from RNAcentral.